Molecule: transfer RNA, 60 nt
Filed under: Heterocephalus glaber (naked mole-rat)
Lineage: Eukaryota; Metazoa; Chordata; Mammalia; Rodentia; Bathyergidae
Rfam family: tRNA
About the family: Transfer RNA (tRNA) molecules are approximately 80 nucleotides in length.
Source: Rfam by way of RNAcentral
UGUAGCUCAGUUGUGGAGUGUCUGCCUAGCAUGCAGCAGCCCUGGGUUCAAUACCCAGCA